GUGUCAGCCGCCGCGGUAAUACGUAGGUGGCAAGCGUUGUCCGGAAUUAUUGGGCGUAAAGAGCGUGUAGGUGGGAUGAUAAGUCUAUCUUAAAAGUGCGGGGCUCAACCCCGUGAUGGGAUGGAAACUAUCAUUCUUGAGUGCAGGAGAGGAAAGCGGAAUUCCCAGUGUAGCGGUGAAAUGCGUAGAUAUUGGGAGGAACACCAGUGGCGAAGGCGGCUUUCUGGACUGUGUCUGACACUGAGGCGCGAAAGCCAGGGGAGCGAACGGGAUUAGAUACCCCGGUAGUCCUGGCCGUAAACGAUGGGUACUAGGUGUAGGAGGUAUCGACCCCUUCUGUGCCGGAGUUAACGCAAUAAGUACCCCGCCUGGGGAGUACGGCCGCAAGGUUGAA
RNAcentral lists this ribosomal RNA (394 nucleotides) under uncultured bacterium. Its description in RNAcentral is "bacterial SSU rRNA". It matches the Rfam family "Bacterial small subunit ribosomal RNA", at positions 505 to 898 of the family's 1533-position model. The record is from RNAcentral.